AUUAGAGUUUGAUCCUGGCUCAGGACGAACGCUGGCGGCGUGCUUAACACAUGCAAGUCGAACGGUGACGAGCAGCUUGCUGCUCUGAUCAGUGGCGAACGGGUGAGUAACACGUGAGCAACCUACCCUUGACUCCGGGAUAACAGCUGGAAACAGCUGCUAAUACCGGAUACGACCUCGACCGACAUCUGUUGAGGUGGAAAGUUCUGGCGGUCAAGGAUGGGCUCGCGGCCUAUCAGCUAGUUGGUGAGGUAACGGCUCACCAAGGCUUCGACGGGUAGCCGGCCUGAGAGGGCGACCGGCCACACUGGGACUGAGAUACGGCCCAGACUCCUACGGGAGGCAGCAGUGGGGAAUAUUGCACAAUGGGCGAAAGCCUGAUGCAGCAACGCCGCGUGCGGGAUGACGGCCUUCGGGUUGUAAACCGCUUUCAGCUCCGACGAAGCGCAAGUGACGGUAGGAGCAGAAGAAGGACCGGCCAACUACGUGCCAGCAGCCGCGGUGAUACGUAGGGUCCGAGCGUUGUCCGGAAUUAUUGGGCGUAAAGGGCUUGUAGGCGGUUUGUCGCGUCGGAAGUGAAAACUCAGGGCUUAACCCUGAGCCUGCUUCCGAUACGGGCAAACUAGAGGAAUGCAGGGGAGAAUGGAAUUCCUGGUGGAGCGGUGGAAUGCGCAGAUAUCAGGAGGAACACCAGUGCGAAGGCGGUUCUCUGGGCAUUUCCUGACGCUGAGAAGCGAAAGCGUGGGGAGCAAACAGGCUUAGAUACCCUGGUAGUCCACGCCGUAAACGGUGGGCACUAGGUGUGGGACUCAUUCCACGAGUUCCGUGCCGUAGCUAACGCAUUAAGUGCCCCGCCUGGGGAGUACGGCCGCAAGGCUAAAACUCAAAGGAAUUGACGGGGGCCCGCACAAGCGGCGGAGCAUGCGGAUUAAUUCGAUGCAACGCGA
Molecule: ribosomal RNA, 947 nt
Filed under: uncultured bacterium
Lineage: Bacteria
Description: bacterial SSU rRNA
Rfam family: Bacterial small subunit ribosomal RNA
Source: RNAcentral